Molecule: ribosomal RNA, 551 nt
Filed under: Lactobacillus delbrueckii
Lineage: Bacteria; Bacillati; Bacillota; Bacilli; Lactobacillales; Lactobacillaceae
Description: bacterial SSU rRNA
Rfam family: Bacterial small subunit ribosomal RNA
Source: RNAcentral
GGAAGCAGUCUGAUGGAGCACGCCGCGUGAGUGAAGAAGGUUUUCGGAUCGUAAAGCUCUGUUGUUGGUGAAGAAGGAUAGAGGCAGUAACUGGUCUUUAUUUGACGGUAAUCAACCAGAAAGUCACGGCUAACUACGUGCCAGCAGCCGCGGUAAUACGUAGGUGGCAAGCGUUGUCCGGAUUUAUUGGGCGUAAAGCGAGCGCAGGCGGAAUGAUAAGUCUGAUGUGAAAGCCCACGGCUCAACCGUGGAACUGCAUCGGAAACUGUCAUUCUUGAGUGCAGAAGAGGAGAGUGGAACUCCAUGUGUAGCGGUGGAAUGCGUAGAUAUAUGGAAGAACACCAGUGGCGAAGGCGGCUCUCUGGUCUGCAACUGACGCUGAGGCUCGAAAGCAUGGGUAGCGAACAGGAUUAGAUACCCUGGUAGUCCAUGCCGUAAACGAUGAGCGCUAGGUGUUGGGGACUUUCCGGUCCUCAGUGCCGCAGCAAACGCAUUAAGCGCUCCGCCUGGGGAGUACGACCGCAAGGUUGAAACUCAAAGGAAUUGACGGG